UACGAAGGGAGCUAGCGUUGUUCGGAAUCACUGGGCGUAAAGCGCACGUAGGCGGAUCGAUCAGUCAGGGGUGAAAUCCCAGAGCUCAACUCUGGAACUGCCUUUGAUACUGUCGAUCUGGAGUAUGGAAGAGGUGAGUGGAAUUCCGAGUGUAGAGGUGAAAUUCGUAGAUAUUCGGAGGAACACCAGUGGCGAAGGCGGCUCACUGGUCCAUUACUGACGCUGAGGUGCGAAAGCGUGGGGAGCAAACAGG
Molecule: ribosomal RNA, 253 nt
Filed under: uncultured bacterium
Lineage: Bacteria
Description: partial 16S ribosomal RNA
Rfam family: Bacterial small subunit ribosomal RNA
Source: RNAcentral